This 80-nucleotide ribosomal RNA is filed under the name Aquimarina intermedia. Lineage: Bacteria; Pseudomonadati; Bacteroidota; Flavobacteriia; Flavobacteriales; Flavobacteriaceae. The record is from RNAcentral.
UCUUACCUUUCCGAACAGAGAAGUUAAGCCCGUUAGCGCCGAUGGUACUACUACUGUGGAAGAGUAGGUCACCGCCUUUU